GUGGGGAAUAUUGGACAAUGGGCGCAAGCCUGAUCCAGCAAUGCCGCGUGGGUGAAGAAGGUCUUCGGAUCGUAAAGCCCUUUCGACAGGGACGAUGAUGACGGUACCUGUAGAAGAAGCCCCGGCUAACUUCGUGCCAGCAGCCGCGGUAAUACGAAGGGGGCUAGCGUUACUCGGAAUUACUGGGCGGAAAGGGCGCGUAGGCGGCUCUGUUAGUCAGGCGUGAAAUUCCUGGGCUUAACCUGGGGACUGCGCUUGAUACUGCAGGGCUUGAGGCCGAGAGAGGGUGGUGGAAUUCCCAGUGUAGAGGUGAAAUUCGUAGAUAUUGGGAAGAACACCGGUGGCGAAGGCGACCACCUGGCUCGGUUCUGACGCUGAGGCGCGACAGCGUGGGGAGCAAACAGGAUUAGAAACCCGUGUAGUCC
This 425-nucleotide ribosomal RNA is filed under the name uncultured bacterium. RNAcentral's name for it is "partial 16S ribosomal RNA". It matches the Rfam family "Bacterial small subunit ribosomal RNA", at positions 354 to 796 of the family's 1533-position model. The record is from RNAcentral.